GCUGACUAGCUAGCCAACACAUUUGGUCUAACACCACAACAUAUAUAACCCCACAAAACUUAAAAUUAAGUCAACAAACCAUUUUUCCACCUUA
RNAcentral lists this ribosomal RNA (94 nucleotides) under Salvelinus alpinus (Arctic char). RNAcentral's name for it is "partial 16S ribosomal RNA". The record is from RNAcentral. Lineage: Eukaryota; Metazoa; Chordata; Actinopteri; Salmoniformes; Salmonidae.